RNAcentral lists this long non-coding RNA (377 nucleotides) under Ictidomys tridecemlineatus (thirteen-lined ground squirrel). Its description in RNAcentral is "lncRNA (ENSSTOG00000034761.1)". The record is from RNAcentral. Lineage: Eukaryota; Metazoa; Chordata; Mammalia; Rodentia; Sciuridae.
CUUAGAGAAGCGAAGAGACAGAGAUGCUGAGAGGAAGAGAGAAUUCCCCGGGUCUGAGUUACCUUUGAUGGGAGAGGCUCAGCAAUGAGUGGACAGGCUGUCUCUGACAGAAGAAUACAGUUCAUCAAAAGUGUCUGCAGGUUGUCAAACUCAGGGAGGUUUGGGGACCCUCUGCGGCUGUCAUGGUCAACAAGAAGAUUUUCUGUCGGGCUCCUCCAUCACUCACCCUGAGGAAAUAAUCACUCACUACAUUCUGCAUGUUCUCAUGAUGGAGCUCUCCAUUUGAGAGAAAAGAGCCAUUUUAUCAAAGGACAAUAUAGCCCUUCUCUGGGUCCACGUAGCUUCCAUUAUCAGACCAUAAUAAAUCAUAUUUAUGU